Molecule: ribosomal RNA, 553 nt
Filed under: fungal sp. SYL204
Lineage: Eukaryota; Fungi
Description: eukaryotic LSU rRNA
Rfam family: 5.8S ribosomal RNA (bases 180-333)
Source: RNAcentral
GGGAAAAAAGGAAUUUCCGCUCUACACCCUUUGUGAACAUACCUAUAACUGUUGCUUCGGCGGGUAGGGUCUCCGCGACCCUCCCGGCCUCCCGCCUCCGGGCGGGUCGGCGCCCGCCGGAGGAUAACCAAACUCUGAUUUAACGACGUUUCUUCUGAGUGGUACAAGCAAAUAAUCAAAACUUUUAACAACGGAUCUCUUGGUUCUGGCAUCGAUGAAGAACGCAGCGAAAUGCGAUAAGUAAUGUGAAUUGCAGAAUUCAGUGAAUCAUCGAAUCUUUGAACGCACAUUGCGCCCGCCAGCAUUCUGGCGGGCAUGCCUGUUCGAGCGUCAUUUCAACCCUCAAGCUCUGCUUGGUGUUGGGGCCCUACAGCUGAUGUAGGCCCUCAAAGGUAGUGGCGGACCCUCUCGGAGCCUCCUUUGCGUAGUAACUUUACGUCUCGCACUGGGAUCCGGAGGGACUCUUGCCGUAAAACCCCCAAUUUUCCAAAGGUUGACCUCGGAUCAGGUAGGAAUACCCGCUGAACUUAAGCAUAUCAAUAAGCGGAGGAAA